Molecule: ribosomal RNA, 325 nt
Filed under: uncultured eukaryote
Lineage: Eukaryota
Description: partial 18S ribosomal RNA
Rfam family: Eukaryotic small subunit ribosomal RNA
Source: RNAcentral
CCCUUAGAUGUUCUGGGCCGCACGCGCGCUACACUGAUGCAUUCAACGAGCCUAUCCUUGACCGACAGGUCCGGGUAAUCUUUGAAUCUGCAUCGUGACGGGGAUAGAUUAUUGCAAUUAUUAAUCUUCAACGAGGAAUGCCUAGUAGGCGCAAGUCAUCAGCUUGCGUCGAUUACGUCCCUGCCCUUUGUACACACCGCCCGUCGCUCCUACCGAUUGGGUGUGCUGGUGAAAUGUUCGGAUCGGCCGUUUGUCGCGGUUUCCGCGGCUCGUGGCUUAGACGUUCAUUAAACCCUCCCACCUAGAGGAAGGAGAAGUCGUAACA